UGUGAUGUGACGUAGUGGAA
This 20-nucleotide non-coding RNA is filed under the name Drosophila melanogaster (fruit fly). The record is from RNAcentral. Lineage: Eukaryota; Metazoa; Arthropoda; Insecta; Diptera; Drosophilidae.